UCCGUCAGACAUUUUGUGCCCGCCACGUGCUAGCCUAUCGCCCAGCUCGCGCCUCAAAACUUGAGAGGCUUUCUUGGCUUGAGAAGAGACAGCUGGUAUAAUUGGAGAGCAUCGCCCCACCAGUUAGGUAAAGUUGAUCUUUUUUCAUAAUAGCUAGGGGAGUGGCAAAUGAGCAAAUUGAAGAGAAUGAAAGGAAAAAAAAUGUUUCCAUCUCCUGUGGCCCCCAGCUCCAAUCCCCAGGGAUAUUCCCAUGACCUAGACUCAUCAUAACUUAAAGAAGGACCUCAUAGGCAUUUUGCCAUUUAGAACUUAAAAUGUGUUUUGUUUUUCAUAGAGGUAGUGUUAUAAAUCAUUGUUAUAUCCUCCAGUCAGAUCUGAAAAGGUAUUUGGCUGCAAUAUAGUUCAAAUUUUUCAAUGAAAAAGUAGUAGGAAACUACUGUUUGCUGGUAACUGUAGAAAACAAAUAUGAGUUAAGUAGGAGGUAGUAUGGAUUUUUCAUUUUUAAGUGUUUACCUUAAAUUUGUGUUUGAGAAAAGGCAAGUUUAAUUGGAGCAUGAGGGAAGAAGAGGAGUGAAUUUGGCCCCAAAAGUUAAACUGUCCAUCUUCAAGCAGAAGGCCAGUUAACUCUUGGAUCAAAUAGAUCCCUCAGAUUUAAGCACAAAUGAACAAGUGCCUGCCUAACUUUCUUCAUUAGAUAGCAGCUCUGGGAGGAUUUGAGAUAUAAGAAGAAACUAGGGCCUUUUCUCCUUUGAUUAGGACCUCUGGUUUAUUCUGAAUCUAGAUUGGGAAGCUGUGGGAUCAUCUUGACCCCAGCUCCACUCACUGUCUCAACUACACUCUUCCAAAGCUGUUAUCUCCUUUGCAAGGCAGUCUAGAUCUCUAUACCCAGGAAGGAAUGAAAAGAGAUGAGGCUUAGUUACCUCUGUGGAGAUCCACUGAGAACCCCAGAGUUGAUAUAAAGAUUGUUUUAAACUGAAGAGAUUUGAGAUUCAACAGAUGCAGAGAGAAGCCUACUUGGAGUUUAUCUGGCUAAAAGCAAAUACAUGUCACAAACGAGGGCUGACAUAAAUUCUCCCUUUGGAGUGAGUCUGUUCCCAGGAGAGAGGCCAAGAGUAAACCUCUGGUAGGGGUUGGAGGGGUAGUCUUUUGGCCCUAAGAAAAGAAAGACCACUCAUACCUAUGUAGACAGACAUUGUAAACUUGAUCUCUCAUUUGUUCUGAAAAUACCAUUUGUGUUCCCUAAAGAAAUCUGUUCUUCCCAAAAGGUUUUUCUCCUGCUGUCCUUUCCUCUUCUAAGUUAGGUAUAUAAGCCCUAAAUUCUAACUACUCAGUUAUCACUGAGUGUGAGUGCACCUGUGUAUGUGUGUUGCACAUGUAAAUACACUUUUUCUGCACCUCAAAUGCCACUUUUCUGCCAUUGAAACAAUAUCCGAGCUCAGAAUACCUUUCAUCAAGGUCCUGUUAAGAACUUUCAACAACCUUGAAGUUGGCUGAUGGAACAUUUAGACCUGCUAUCCUUGGGUACAGCCCUAAGUGGGGCCCUCCAGUGGUCUCUGCUUUAUGCAGUAAUUCCCAUUCUCCUCUGUGCUUAUUCCCCAGUGACUCAUCUUCUCAGUAUGCUUCUGGCGUUCUGUUCUUGGGGUGGCAUGUUUCUUUACAUUCUCAGCCUUUCUGGAAAAGUCAAGGGACUUGCCUUUUCUGCCUAGCCCAACAACUCUCUGCCCUAUUUAUCCCAGUAUAUCUUAUUGCCUCUUACUGGUAGAGGCAAUUAAAGGUCUCAGGUAUUCAUUUCCUGAACUUCUCAUUCUCACUUAACAAACUCACCUACAUCUGUGUCCAUCCUAGCCAUCUCUCUUGAAGGAGCUGUCCCUCCUCCAACAAGAGUAGAAUGAUACCUCAUUUUUAAUAUGCACUUUUACUGCUUACAGUUGAACCUUUUUUUUUUUUUUUUUUUUUUUGAGACAUAAUCUUGCUCUGGUGCCCAGGCUGGAGUGCGGUGGCGCAAUCUUGGCUCACUGCAACCCUCCGCCUCGCGGGUUCAAGCAUUCUCCUGCCUCAUCCUCCCGAGUAGCUGGGACUACAGGUGCACACCACCAUGCCCGGCACAUUUUUUUGUAUUUUUAGUAGAGAUGGGGUUUCGCCAGGUUGGCCAGGCUGGUCUCAAACUCCUGACCUCAGGUGAUCUGCCCGCCUCAGCCUCCCAAAGUGGUUGGGAUUAUAGACGUGAGCCACCGUGCCCAGCCAAACUUUUUUUUUUUUUAACUGGGUCUCUGUGGCCCAAGCUGGAGCAUAGUGGCAUGAUAAUGGCUCACUGCAACCUGGACCUCCUGGGCUCAAGUGAUCCUCCUGCAUCAGCCUCUCAAGUAGCUCGGACCACAGGCAUGCACCACCAUGCCCAGAUAAUUAUUUAUUUUUUGUAGAGACAGGGUCUCCCUAUGUUGCCCAGGUGACUCUUGGACUCCUGGGCUCAGGUGGUCCUCCCACUUCUGCCUCCCAAAAUACUGGGAUUGUAGGCACUAGCCACUGCACCUGGCCUUGAACAGUUUUUUUUAGUGUUGGCUAUUUGUGUCUUUUAGAGCUUGUCUGUCCUUCGUUAGUGUUUCUGCUGGGGUAUUUAUUUUUUCCUCACUUAGGGUAAAAAAAAUAGAAGAUAUCCUCAAGAACAAGAUAAAUGCAAAUAGCCAGAAUUUCCGUAAUCGAGAGGUUACAAAAAGUAACAGUCAAAUAAAUCAGAAAAUAAUUUUGUGGCAGUUAAAAUGAACUACUCAUUUAAAAGAGAAGUUGACAUUUUAAAUAAAGAACUCUUAACUAAUAA
Homo sapiens (human) is the source of this 2815-nucleotide long non-coding RNA. RefSeq lists it as uncharacterized. NCBI's taxonomy places the organism in Eukaryota, Metazoa, Chordata, Mammalia, Primates, Hominidae. The transcript has 2 exons. The record is from RefSeq and is a predicted model, not a curated record.